UUGACCUCGGAUCAGGUAGGAAUACCCGCUGAACUUACAACAGGGAUUGCCCUAGUAACGGCGAGUGAAGCGGCAACAGCUCAAAUUUGAAAUCUGGCUCUCGGGCCCGAGUUGUAAUUUGUAGAGGAUACUUUUGAUGCGGUGCCUUCCGAGUUCCCUGGAACGGGACGCCAUAGAGGGUGAGAGCCCCGUCUGGUUGGAUGCCAAAUCUCUGUAAAGUUCCUUCGACGAGUCGAGUAGUUUGGGAAUGCUACUCUAAAUGGGAGGUAUAUGUCUUCUAAAGCUAAAUACCGGCCAGAGACCGAUAGCGCACAAGUAGAGUGAUCGAAAGAUGAAAAGCACUUUGAAAAGAGAGUUAAAAAGUACGUGAAAUUGUUGAAAGGGAAGCGUUUAUGACCAGACUUGGGCUUGGUUAAUCAUCUGGGGUUCUCCCCAGUGCACUUUUCCAGUCCAGGCCAGCAUCAGUUUUCCCCGGGGGAUAAAGACUUCGGGAAUGUGGCUCUCUUCGGGGAGUGUUAUAGCCCGUUGUGUAAUACCCUGGGGGGGACUGAGGUUCGCGCAUCUGCAAGGAUGCUGGCGUAAUGGUCAUCAACGA
This 595-nucleotide ribosomal RNA is filed under the name Fusarium sp. SGLAf11. RNAcentral's name for it is "eukaryotic LSU rRNA". It matches the Rfam family "Eukaryotic large subunit ribosomal RNA", at positions 1 to 647 of the family's 3401-position model. The record is from RNAcentral. Lineage: Eukaryota; Fungi; Ascomycota; Sordariomycetes; Hypocreales; Nectriaceae.